Molecule: ribosomal RNA, 421 nt
Filed under: Cladosporium cladosporioides
Lineage: Eukaryota; Fungi; Ascomycota; Dothideomycetes; Cladosporiales; Cladosporiaceae
Description: SSU rRNA
Rfam family: Eukaryotic small subunit ribosomal RNA
Source: RNAcentral
AUGCAUGUCUAAGUAUAAGCAACUAUACGGUGAAACUGCGAAUGGCUCAUUAAAUCAGUUAUCGUUUAUUUGAUAGUACCUUACUACAUGGAUAACCGUGGUAAUUCUAGAGCUAAUACAUGCUAAAAACCUCGACUUCGGAAGGGGUGUAUUUAUUAGAUAAAAAACCAAUGCCCUUCGGGGCUCCUUGGUGAAUCAUAAUAACUUAACGAAUCGCAUGGCCUUGCGCCGGCGAUGGUUCAUUCAAAUUUCUGCCCUAUCAACUUUCGAUGGUAGGAUAGUGGCCUACCAUGGUAUCAACGGGUAACGGGGAAUUAGGGUUCGACUCCGGAGAGGGAGCCUGAGAAACGGCUACCACAUCCAAGGAAGGCAGCAGGCGCGCAAAUUACCCAAUCCCGACACGGGGAGGUAGUGACAAUAA